This 248-nucleotide ribosomal RNA is filed under the name uncultured bacterium. RNAcentral's name for it is "partial 16S ribosomal RNA". It matches the Rfam family "Bacterial small subunit ribosomal RNA", at positions 524 to 776 of the family's 1533-position model. The record is from RNAcentral.
UACGAAGGGGCUAGCGUUGCUCGGAAUUACUGGGCGUAAAGCGCACGUAGGCGGCUUCUAAGUCGGGGUGAAUCCUGGAGCUCAACUCCAGAACUGCCUUCGAUACUGGAGAGCUUGAGUCCGGGAGAGGUGAGUGGAACUGCGAGUGUAGAGGUGAAAUUCGUAGAUAUUCGCAAGAACACCAGUGGCGAAGGCGGCUCACUGGCCCGGAACUGACGCUGAGGUGCGAAAGCGUGGGAGCAAACAGG